This 352-nucleotide ribosomal RNA is filed under the name Phenylobacterium sp. RNAcentral describes it as "bacterial SSU rRNA". It matches the Rfam family "Bacterial small subunit ribosomal RNA", at positions 1 to 381 of the family's 1533-position model. Lineage: Bacteria; Pseudomonadati; Pseudomonadota; Alphaproteobacteria; Caulobacterales; Caulobacteraceae. The record is from RNAcentral.
CAACCUGAGAGUUUGAUCCUGGCUCAGAGCGAACGCUGGCGGCAGGCCUAAUACAUGCAAGUCGAGCGGUCCCUUCGGGGGCAGCGGCGGACGGGUGAGUAACGCGUGGGAACGUGCCCUUUGGUACGGAACAACUGAGGGAAACUUCAGCUAAUACCGUAUGUGCCCUUCGGGGGAAAGAUUUAUCGCCAUUGGAGCGGCCCGCGUUGGAUUAGGUAGUUGGUGAGGUAAAGGCUCACCAAGCCUACGAUCCAUAGCUGGUCUGAGAGGAUGACCAGCCACACUGGGACUGAGACACGGCCCAGACUCCUACGGGAGGCAGCAGUAGGGAAUCUUGCGCAAUGGGCGAAAG